This 218-nucleotide long non-coding RNA is filed under the name Bos taurus (domestic cattle). RNAcentral describes it as "long non-coding RNA NONBTAT011264". The record is from RNAcentral. Lineage: Eukaryota; Metazoa; Chordata; Mammalia; Artiodactyla; Bovidae.
UAAGCAUGUGAGGGUUUACCUGUUGUAUUAUACAUUUUGCCAUUUUUGAAUUGUUAGAAGCAUAGAAUUGGGGAAACUGCCCCAAAAUGAUGUCUAAUACUAUUUCUGUCUAUGAGCUAAUUUUUACUAAAAAUUGUAGGUCAUUUGCACUGUAAGACUCAGACUCUUUUAUGACAUAGAUUUUUUAAAUUACCCAAUUACAGUUUCAGGCAUCAAUU